AAAGAGCGAAAAAUGGAUUGAGAUAGAAAUAUAGAAAGACAAAGAUAUAUAAAGAGAGACAGAAAUAGAAAGACAAAGAUAUAUAAAGAGAGACAGAAAUAGAAAGACAAAGAUAUAUAAAGAGAGACAGAAAUAGAAAGACAAAGAUCUAUAAAGAGUGACAGAAAUAUAGAAAGACAAAGAUAUAUAAAGAGAGACAGAAAUAGAAAGACAAAGAUCUAUAAAGAGAGACAGAAAUAGAAAGACAAAGCGAAAAGCUUUGCCUGCUCCAUUCUGGGGGUAUCCUCCUUGUCCAAGACCUGUAGCAUAGGUGCAUUCAUUACUCAAGCGAUCAUCUACUUUUAAAUGAAUUUCAAUUACAUCACCUAACAUGCAUUAGAAUGUACUGUGAAGAGGUAACAUGGAACCUGUGCCAGAUUUAGUAAUGUUUCCAAUGAUUUUCUUUAUGCCACAGAAUAGUGAGCCAUCCAUUGAAAGGAGAAAAGAUGUUGGUUAGGUUUCUGUCUGUCAGUGUCAGUUCCAUUACCUGCUCCAUAGCCGUUGUUUCCUGCCCCAGGAUAGCUGCCAGCUCCAGCACCGUAGCCUGUGGAAUAAGUCAACAAAGCUCAGCACAAAACCCUGUGAUUGACUUGAGACUGAGCGACACGAUCCCUAAACUCAUCGCAUUGUGAUUGACCCUGUUACCUGUGGAGGAAAACAUACAGCGAGCACUCAUCACAUAAUACUGCUAUUGGCUCCUAGCCUGCGGAGCACAACAUCCAUGCACAUUACAUAUCACUGUGAUUAGGCUGUAGCCUGUGACACACAACAUCCAUGCACAUUACAUAUCACUGUGAUUAGGCCGUAGCCUGUGACACACAACAUCCAUGCUUACCACAUAACUGUGACCAAACAGAAAGAUAUGUUUACACAAAUCCAAGCCACAGUGAAAAUAAGACAAACCUACAACUCAGGUCAAAUUUCAAGUCAACCAUCCCUAAAGCGAUUCAUCAAAAGCUUUCAGUGUGCUUCUAGAACACGAACAUAGAGCCAACAAGACCGGUGCAUCAUUCAUUAAGGGUAUUAUCAUAUACAGUGCCUUCGGAAAGUAUUUAGACCCCUUGACUUUUUCCACAUUUUGUUACGUUACAGACUUAUUCUAAAAUUGAUUAACUCGUUUUUUCCCCUCCUCAAUCUACACACAAUACCGCCCAAUGACAAAGUAAAAACAUGUUUUUAGACAUUUUUGCUAAUUUAUAAAAAAUAAAAACGUAAAUAUCACAUUUACAUAAGUAUUCAGACCAUUUACUCAGUACUUUGUUAAAGCACCUUUGGCAGCGAUUACAGCCUUGCGUCUUCUUGGCUAUGAUGAUACAAGCUUCAUAACAGGCUAAAACCUGUAUUUGGGGAGUUUCUCCCAUUCUCCCCUGCAGAUCUUCUCCAGCUCUGUCAGGUUGGAUGGGGAGCAUCGCUGCACAGCUAUUUUCAGGUCUCUCCAGAGAUGUUCGAUCGUGUUCAAGUCCGGGCUCUGGCUGGGCCGCUCAAGGACAUUCAGAGACUUGUCCCGAAGCCACUCCUAUGUUGUCUUGGCUGUGUGCUUAGGGUUGUUGUCCUGUUGGAAUGUGAACCUUCGCCCCAGUCUGAGGUCCUGAGAGCUCUGGAGCAGGUUUUCAUCAAGGAUCUCUCUGACUUUGCUCCGUUCAUCUUUGCCUCGAUCCUGACUAGUCUCCCAGUCACUGAUGCUGAAAAACAUCCCCACAGCAUGAUGCUGCCACCACCAUGCUUCACCGUAGGGAUGGUGCCAGGUUUCCUCCAGAUGUGAAGCUUGGCAUUCAGGCCAAAGAGUUCAAUCUUGGUUUCAUCAGACCAGAGAAUCUUGUUUCUCAUGGUCUGAGAGUUCUUUAGGUGCCUAUUGGCAAACUCAAGUGGGCUGUCAUGUGCCUUUUACUGAGGCGUGGCUUCGGUCUGGCCACUCUACUAUAAAGGCCUGAUUGGUGGAGUGCUGCAGAGAUGGUUGUCCUUCCAUAGAGGAACUCUGGAGCUCUGCCCGAGUGAGCAUCAGGUUCUUGGUCACCUCCCUGACCAAGGUCCUUCUCCCCUGAUUGCUCAGUUUGGUAGAGCGGGCAGGUCUAGGAAGAGACAAGGUGGUUUCAAACUUCUUCCAUUUAAGAAUGAUGGAGGCCACUGUGUUCUUGGGGACCUUCAAUGCUGCACACAUUUUUUGGUACCCUUCCCCAGAUCUGUGUCUAAAAACCUGUUCUCGGUUUGUCAUUAUUGGGUAUUGUGUGUAGAUUGAUGAGGAUUUUUUAUUUAUUUAAUCCAUUUUAGAAAAAGGCUGUAAACAAAAUGUGGAAAAAGUCAAGGGGUCUGAAUACUUUCCAAAGGCACUUUAGCCAUUGACACAAAGUGAUUGCUACAAACGACAGUGAUUGGCACAUGCAGGUGGAUAUAACACACAGACAGCUAGAUUGUAUGGGGUUACCAGUUUUGGUUGCUUUAGCACCCUGUCCAUUGGGCUCUCCCACUCCUGGACCAUAUCCUAGAGACCACAACAAAUGUUACUCGAUAGUGCUACCUACACAAUAUUACAGCCACAAAGGAAAAUAGAAAAAAGGGACAGACAGAGGUUUACCAUUGCCUUUGGCUCCCUGAACACUGGGAACUCCAGCACCUGGACCAUAUCCUGGAGACCACUAAACAAGUUAACUCUGUAGCUUAUAAUAAUAGAAACAGCGUCCCUCUGUUAUAGCGCUUGCAACACCAAGGGUUGUGGGUUCGAUUCCCGCUGGGGCCAACCAUUUAUAAAAUGUAUGCAUGCGUGACUGGAAGUCGCUUUGGUUAACAGUGUCUGCUAAAUGGCAUAUAUUAUUAUAUAUUAUGUGUCCGGCUCAAAGGACCAUGAAAAACAACACCACCCAGAGAGUGGUUUAAAAUAAGAAACAUAUCGCCCUGUCUCCUCCUACUGUGUCAUUGUCCUAACAGGGGACCCACUUUAAACAGUACCUCUUCCUGUGUCCAACCCUCACUGGGUGGUGCCCAGACACAGUGACGUUCCAGAGACUGAGAAAGUGGUUUACCAUUGCUUUUACCACCAUUGAGGACUCCAGCUCCUGGACCAUAUCCUCGAGACCACAACACGUGUUACAACCACUGAUUAUUCAAAACCAUUUGCAUUCCCACAACACACUGCUCUUUAUCCUAGUAAUUCAACACAUAGAUUCUUAGCCAUGCACAAAACAAUAUCACAGAGACUAGAUGACUAGCAUUUGGGAGGAUAUCAGCAAAUUUCAUGUCACCAAAAAUAUAGUUUUAAAGAUAGUUCUAAAUAUACAGCUCCACUUCAAUACAGAAAGAGACAGAGACAGAGACAGACUGUGACACAGACAGGGUAUCAGAGGUUUACCAUUGCUUUCAGCACCGCUGGGUUGCUGAACUCCUGGGCCAUAUCCUAGAGACCACACUAGUGAUUACUUUACACUACUUGCUCAACACUGUUUACAAUUGACCAUUGGAAAGCUCUGUUACAUCCUUUCCAGAACAGUUACAGGCAUUCUGUCGGGUUAAAGCGAGACUUACUUCCAAUAUGGUCUUAACUGUAAAGCUGACAAAGACAUAAUUGUUGCAGUGGCAGUGCCAUCCAGCAUGCAGAACAAUGUGCAGAUCACCACUGAUGAAGACUAGUCAGAGAAACAGAAACAACCCAGUAGCAGAAAUCUACCAUUUUUAGCACCAAGCCCAGUAGACACUCCAGCUCCUGGACCAUAUCCUGGAGACCACAACAACUGAUACUGAACACUGGUUACUCAACAAGCCCAGUAGACACUCCAGCUCCUGGACCAUAUCCUGGAGACCACAACAACUGAUACUGAACACUGGUUACUCAACAAGCCCAGUAGACACUCCAGCUCCUGGACCAUAUCCUGGAGACCACAACAACUAUUACUUAACACUGGGUCAAAGCAAGUUAGCGCUGUAGAAUGUAUUAUCAAAAGUUUUGUAGGUUAUGAUAAUGAGUGCCAUCCAGUUAUUUAAACCCAGAGAUUUAAACUGGCAUUACCAUUGCUUUUAGCCCCACCAUUGGGAACUUCAGCUCCUGGACCAUAUCCUGAAGACCACAAAAACUGUUAUUCAACACUGCUUAUAGAAAAUAAAAACCACUUGCAUAAACACAACACAUGAUGUCUUUGACACAGACAGACAAGACACACAAAGACUGACAGAGACAAACAGACAGGGUAUCAGAGGUUUACCAUUGCCUUUGGCUCCCUGAUCACUGGGAACUCCAGCUCCUGGACCAUAUCCUGAAGACCACAAUAACCGUUACUCAACACUUGUUACUCAACACAAGUUAGCUGUGUAGAUCUGAUCAUCAGAGGUUCUGUAGCUUAUCAUAGGAGAGUGUCAGAUGAAUAGAGAUUCAGAGCCUGUAACACUCUGAAAGAGGUUACCAUUGAUUUUACCACCAUUGGGAACUCCAGCUCCUGGACCAUAUCCUGGAACCAACAACAACUGUUACUCAACACUGCUUAUAGACAAUUGAUCAAAACCAGUUGCACAACACAUUCUGCCCUUGAUCCUAGUAUUUCAUCAUAUAGCUUAUAGCCGUGCACAAAUAUCUAGCAAACACCAGCUGGAUGUGUUCAGGAGCUUAUCACCAAUACUCCUCUAAAGAUAGAUUACCAUACAGCAUGCAACACAGACAGGUAGGGUAUCAGAGGUUUACCAUUGCUUUUAGCCCCGUUAGGUGCUCCAGCUCCUGGACCAUAUCCUGGAACCACAACAACUCUUACUCAACACUGUUCUACAAUUGACCAGACCAGCAUCCAUGGAUCGGUCAAAUUCUACAAUAUGCUCAAUGAACUGGCAACAGGCAUGCAACAAUAUGUUACAAACUGUAACAUUAUCACACAGCAUGCAGCAUCUUGCUCGACCUCAACUUUGACAUGGACGAUAAACAUUGAAGACAGACGUAGACACAGACAGGGUAGCACAGGUUUACCAUUGGGUUUAGUACCCUGACCUUUGGGAACUCCAGCUCCUGGACCAUAUCCUGAAGACCACAACAACUGUUACUCAAUACAUGUUACUCAACAUAGGUUUUCUCUGUAGAUUUUAUCAUCAGAGAUUCUGUACCUUUUUAUAAUAAGAGAUGCUAUAGCAUUUCACUGUAAUAACAUGUUUAUUUGGCGUGAUGGAAUGGUCAGAGUACUUAAAUGUCUGGCUCGAAGGACCAGGAAAAAGAGCGUCACCCAGUGAUUGGUGGACUAAGAGAAAGGAGCCAGUUUACCUCUAAAGUGACAGAGAAAUAGAGACUGAUGAAGACUCAGAAAGAGGUUUACCAUUUCUUUUACCACCGUUGGGUGCUCCAACUCCUGGGCCAUAUCCUGGAGACCACAACAGCUGUUACGCAACACUGUCAACACUGACUUAUUGUAAAUAAUCACUUGCAUGAGCACAAAACAUGCUGCCCUGGGACCUUUCCCCUCUGGCCAUGCACAAAUAUAUUCAUCCUUCUCAACGUUCAGGAGUCACAUCACACCAACUUUUGUAGCACAUAUCAUGCAACAUACAGUCAAAGAAGCUCCACUUUGAUACAGAGAGACAGAGUGUGACACAGACAUGUUAUCAGAGGUUUACCAUUGGCUUUGGCGCCCUGAUCAUUUGGAACUCCUGGACCAUAUCCUAAAAGCAACAGCUCUUAUUCAAAACUGUGCUAAAAAUGACCUGACCAUGAAAGCAUAAUAUGCUACAAACGUUGGCAUAACCACACAGCAUGCACCAUUCAGCUCAACCUCAAAUUUGAGAUAGAAAGACACACAUUGAAUAGGGCCGUAGACACAGACAAGGUAGCCAUGGUUUACCAUUGGGUUUAGCACCCUGACCAUUGGGAAUGCCAGCUCCUGGACCAUAUCCUGAAGACCACAACAACUGUUAUUCAAUACAAGUUAGCUUUGUAGCUCUUAUCAAUGACCAUUGAGUUCUGUCUGAAGUCAUGAAAGAUACAGCAAUAGAGAUAGAGACUCUGACAUUUAGUGAUGGUAACAGAGGUUUACCACUUGGUAUAGCACCACUGGGUUAGCACCACUGGGUAUAGCACCACUGGGUUUAGCACCACUGGGUUUAGCACCACUGGGUAUAGCACCACUGGGUUUAGCACCACAGGGUUUAGCACCACUGGGUAUAGCACCACUGGAUAUAGCACCACUGGGUUUAGCACCACUGGGUUUAGCACCACUGGGUAUAGCACCACUGGGUUUAGCACCACAGGGUUUAGCACCACUGGGUAUAGCACCACUGGAUAUAGCACCACUGGAUAUAGCACCACUGGGUUUAGCACCACUGGGUUUAGCACCACUGGGAUUAGCACCACUGGGAUUAGCACCACUGGGUUUAGCACCACUGGGUUUAGCACCACUGGGAUUAGCACCCCUGGGAUUAGCACCGCUGGGUGCUCCAGCUCCUGGACCAUAUCCUGGAACCAACGACAACUCUUACUCAACCCUGUUCUACAACAGACCAAACCAGCAUCAACAUUUAGUGUUAUCACACUGGCCUGGGUACUCUAUCUGUCAAAGGCUUCAAUAUGCUAAUUGUAACAAACAGUUGAGGUUACAGACAUGCAGCAAUGCACCACAAAGACAGAGACAAACAGACAGGGUAUCAGAGGUUUACCAUUGCCUUUGGCUCCCUGAUCACUGGGAACUCCAGCUCCUGGACCAUAUCCUGGAGACCACAACAACUAUUAUUGAACACUUGUUACUCAAUUCAUCUUGGCUCUGUACUUAUUAUAAACAGAAGUGAUGUAUCUUAUCAUAAGAGAGCAACAAAGAAAGAGAGAUGGAGAUAGACCUGUGACACUCAGAAAGAGGUUUACCAUUGCUUUUAGCACCGUUGGUAGCUCCAGCUCCUGGACCAUAUCCUGGAAUCAACAACAGUUGUUACAACAACAAAACAUAAAUCAAAAUCAUUUGCAAACACAAUGCAUGCUGCCCUUGACACAGACAGACAAGAUGCACAAAGACUGACAGAGAGACACUGACAGGGUAUCAGAGGUUUACCAUUGCCUUUGGCUCCCUGAUCACUGGGAACUCCAGCACCUGGACCAUAUCCUGGAGACCACAACAACUGUUACUUAUCGCUACAUUCUCAAAUCUAUUAAAAUGGUCUUGACACAAAAAUUGACAAAGACCUACUCAUAUUGGUAUCACCAAACAUGCAAUACAGUGAGAGUGUGCAGAUCACCUCUGACACAGGGAAAUAAACACAGAAACAGAAACAACUCCAGGGUAGCAAAAGCUUAACAUUUUUAGCACCAGAUACAGUAGGAACUCCAGCUCCUGGACCAUAUCCUGGAGACAACAACAACUGAUACUGAACACUGCUUAUAGACAAUUGAUCAAUACCACCUGCACAGCACAUUCUGCCCUUGAUCCUAGUAUUUCAUCACAUAGCUUAUAGCCAUGCACAAAUAUCUAGCAAACACCGACCUUAAGGCGCUACAGAGGGUAGUGCAUACAGCCCAGUACAUCACUGGGGCUGAGCUCCCUGCCAUCCAGGACCUCUAUACCAGGCGGUGUCAGAGGAAGGCAUACAAAUGGUCAAAGACUCCAGCCACCCUAGUCAUAGACUGUUCUCUCUGCUACUGCAUGGCAAGCGGUACCGAUGCACCAAGUCUGGAACCAACAGGACCCUGAACAGCUUCUACCCCCCAAGCCAUAAGACUGAUAAAUAGUUAGGUAAAUAGUUAGUGUGGGUAGCUUUGGGUUAUCUGUAUUGACCCUUUUUGCACCAACUGUUUUGACUCAUCACAUAUGCUUCUGUUACCGUUUAUUAUCUGUUCUGUCGCCUAGUCACCCCGGACACCUGCACAUCAACUCGGUACUGGUACCCUGUGUAUACGGCCAAGUUAUCGUUACUCAUAGUGUUUUUAAUCCUUGUUUUAUUAUUUUUAUAUUUGUCUCUCUCUGCAUUGUUGGGAAGGGCCCGUAAGUAAGCAUUUCAUUCUUAGUCUACACCUCUAGUUUACGAAGCACGUGACAAAUACAAUUUUGAUUUGAACACUAGCUGGUUGUGUUCAUUAACAUAUCACCAAUUUUGUUCUAAAGAUAGAGUACCAUACAACACAGACAUGCAUGCAUAAUAUGCUACAAACUUUGGAAUUACCACACAACAUGCACCAGAAAGCUCAACCUCAACUUUGAGAUAGAAAGACAAACAGUGAAGACGGACGUAAACACAUACAAGGUAUCAGAGGUUUACCAUUGCCUUUGGCUCCCUGACCUUUGGGAGCUCCAGCUCCUGGACCAUAUCCUGAAGACCACAACAACUGUUACUCAACACUGGUUACUCAACACUGGUUACUCAACACUGGUUACUCAACAAUGGUUAUCUCUGUAGAUAUUAUCAAUGACCAUUGAGUUCUGUCACAAGUAAUGAAAGAUACAGCAAUAGAGAAAUAGAGAUAGAGACUCUGACAUUUAUUAAUGGUAUCAGAGGUUUACCACUAGGUUUAGCACCACUGGGUUUAGCACCACUGGGUUUAGCACCACUGGGUUUAGCAUCACUGGGUUUAGCACCACUGGGUAUAGCACCAUUAGGAACACCAGCAACUGGACCAUAUCCUAACACUGGUUAGUAACUACCACAUACCGUUUAAAGAAUGCAUGUCUGAACACUGCGUAAAACUGCAUCAAAUACCACAAAAGCAACAAUAAAACUAUUUCAAUAGGGAAGUUAGGCAUCCAGUCAAAAUGUACAGCAACAGUGUACUUAAAAAUCCCUAACAGAUCAUAGCAGGUUACCAGUUGAUAUCCACACACUAGAGUGUGAUAUUUGUCAGAAGGGCAAUAUCAUACAGAAAUGCCAGCAUCAUGCAGUACUGUAUGUAGCAGACAGACAGAGAAACAACAGACAGAGUAACAGACAGAGAAACAACAGACAAAGUAACAGCAAAGUAACAGCAGACAGAGAAAAACAGUCAGAGUAACAACAGACAGAGUAACAACAGACAGAGAAGCAACAGACAGAGAAACAACAGACAGAGUAACAACAGAGUAACAACCGACAGUAACAACAAACAGAGAAGCAACAGGCAGAGUAACAACAGACAGAGAAACAGACAGAGUGAUGACAGAGAAACAACAGACAGAGCGAUGACAGAGAAACAACAGACAGAGUGAUGACAGAGAAACAACAGACAGAGGUUCAACAUGGGGUUUAGGUUUAGCACCGUGACCAUUGGACACUCCACAUCCUGGACCACUUCCUAGAGACCAUAAUACUGGUUAUUCAACACAACCUAAAACAGGGUACUCAGCAGCUAUCUGAUUGUAAUAUAUUUACUGUAACGUCAUAUCUUCCUGCUGUUAGAGUUUAAACUUUUGACAGAGACAGACACACAGAGAUAGAGUAGCAGAUGUUUACCAUUGGGCUUAGCACCCUGUCCAUUGGGCACUCCAGCUCCUGCACCAUAUCCUGAAGACCACAACAUUGACUCAUUAGGUACAAAAAUAUAUAAAAACAGACCAAACACGUGACAUAAAAGCUAACAUAUUGACAAGUUGUUGAAUCUGUACGUUAGUCAUGGGCAUGCAGUCUUAGCGACACUUGUACUGCAACUAAUAUGAACCAUACAUAUACUUCAGUAACCCAAUAUGACCCAGCAUAUUGAACACCCCAGCACGCAACAAGCAGUGUUCACUAUUAAACUGUGACACUCACUCUAAACGGAAGCUAAACUGAGGAUGUAGCAGAGACUCUAUAUUUAGACUGUCAGAGUCGGGGGGGAUGAAUUCGGAUUAGCAUGUAAGUCAGAGUUUUGAAUGGACCAAGCCGUCCUCUGUGGCGCAACACUGAUACAUAGAACAGACACCAGGGCACAGACAGGAUCACACACACUGAGCUACAGACGGGACGACAGGCAAACACAUGGUUGCCUUUAGCACCCUGUUCAAAAGGUUACUCUGCUCCACCAUCACCAGUCCCUAAACAACCAGUAGAGCUACAGUAUAUACACAUUUUAUACAACCGGUGGGUCUAAUCCUGAAUGCUGAUUGGUUAAAAGUGCAUUCCAGCCGGUGUCUAUUCCACAAGUUUCCACCUGCUAAAUCUAUACACAUUUUACCACACACUCACAUACCUUCACUACACAUCAACAUGUUCAGCUAAGAAGUCAAGUAAAUGUUAAUUGAAGGUCACUUCAAGUUUUUUGUCACAACUGAAUGAAAUACUUUUCCAAUCUGGAUAUAUUAAAUCAAGAACUACUCAUUCUGAUAAAUCAAGGCUGUUAAUGUAAAUGAGAACUCAUUUGAUGCGUAAGUGAAGUGUACACGCUCAAAUCAACACAUAUGAAGAUUGUUAAAGACAUUGGACGACAAAGACGCUGGAGAGACAACAUAGAUAACAUGUUAAAAUAACACUUGAAAAAAACACCAUACCAAAUUCAUUAGCAAGCACAGACAGCUGAUAUGGACAUACUAAAGACAGGUUUCUAUGAACACCUGGAGUUAGUCACUGAUUGAGAUACAUUUUAAGAUUUAAAACAUUGUAAUUAGAUGAAGAGCAACAUUCACAAACACUUUUGGAAGGAAACCAUAGACAAACAACAGGAAGAUGAUAUGCAUCCCAGUUGACAACUAACAAUGGGAUGACUGAAAACAAACAACAGCAGGUGAAGAGGAGUCUCUGGCGAGCCCCUGUCCAGCUGGUAUCGUAGGUCUAUAGUGUUUGGCUCCCUGUCCAGCUGGUAUCGUAGGUCUAUAGUGUUUGUCUCCCUGUCCAUCUGGUAUCGUAGGUCUAUAGUGUUUGUCUCCCUGUCCAUCUGGUAUCAUAGGUCUAUAGUUUUUGUCUCCCUGUCCAUCUGGUAUCGUAGGUCUAUAGAGUUUGUCUCCCUGUCCAUCUGGUAUCGUAGGUCUGUAGUGUUUGUCUCCCUGUCCAUCUGGUAUCGUAGGUCUAUAGUGUUUGGCUCCCUGUCCAUCUGGUAUCGUAGGUCUAUAGUGUUUGGCUCCCUGCCCAUCUGGUAUCAUAGGUCUAUAGUUUUUGGCCCUCUGUCCAGCUGGUAUCGUAGGUCUAUAGUGUUUGUCUCCCUGUCCAGCUGGUAUUGUAGGUCUAUAGAGUUUGGCUCCCUGUCCAUCUGGUAUCGUAGGUCUAUAGUGUUUGGCUCCCUGUCCAUCUGGUAUCGUAGGUCUAUAGUGUUUGGCUCCCUGUCCAUCUGGUAUCAUAGAUCUAUAGUUUUUGGCUCCCUGUCCAUCUGGUAAUGUAGGUCUAUAGUGUUUGUCUCCCUGUCCAGCUGGUAUUGUAGGUCUAUAGAGUUUGGCUCCCUGUCCAUCUGGUAUCGUAGGUCUAUAGUGUUUGGCUCCCUGUCCAUCUGGUAUCGUAGGUCUAUAGUGUUUGGCUCCCUGUCCAUCUGGUAUCGUAGGUCUGUAGUGUUUGGCUCCCUGUCCAUCUGGUAUCGUAGGUCUAUAGUUUUUGGCUCCCUGUCCAUCUGGUAUCGUAGGUCUAUAGUUUUGGCUCCCUGUGCUACAGGACCAAGACUUUUGCCCUCUUUCCCAACAGGCACCUGAGGUUCUAGACUUUUAGCCGCCUGUGACUCUGGGACCACAGAACCAACACCUUCGGAACCCUGUGGCUGCUGAGCUACUGGACCUUGACCUUUACCCCUCUUCCGAUCUGCCACUGCAGCAGGUCCAUAGCGUUUGGCUCCCUGUGGUUCUGGUGCCGCAGGACCAAGACUUUUGGCCUCUUUCCUAAUGGGUAUCUGAGGUCCUAAGCUUUUAGCCUCCGGUGUAUGGGAUGCCACAGGACCAGAACUUUUGACCCCUUUGCCAUUUGGAGCUGCCGGUCCAAAACCUUUGGCCCCCUGUGGCUGCUGAGCUACAGGACCAGAACUCUUAGCUUCCUUUCCCAGUGGAGCUGCAGGCCCAUAGCUUUCGACUCCCUGUGCUUGAAGAACAACAGAACAAGGGCUUUUGGGCCCUUCACAUCUGGCAAUGCAGCAGGUCCUUGGCUAUCAUGAUUGUGGCAUAAUGUGUCUACAUGCAACAUGCACCUUUAUAGAAACUGGGACAAAGACACACAUAGACAGACAAACACACAGGGUAGCAGAUGUUUACCAUUGGGUUUAGCACCCUGUCCAUUGGGCACUCCAGCUCCUGCACCAUAUCCUGAAGACCACAAUAGUGAUUACUCAACACUGGCGACUAUAGGACGGACUCAUGCAGAUACGAUGCUCUGAUCCACAAACAUAACCAUACACGGACACACCCACUUACAUACUUCACCACUUACACAAUUCCAAUCACACCACAACAAAAUAUAUAUGGCUGCCCAUUUGAAAGAAUUUGGCAGCCGAACAAUAAAGACAACCAUUGAUGGUAAGUAGAUAGACACCUGUUAAUGCACUGAGCAAACAACAUGCAUUUACACCAUGUCUGACUGAAUCAACAAAAGGCAUAAAUACUGAUUACACAGAAGAGAUUGAAAACGGCAACACGAAGAGCAGACAUGAAGGCACAAACUGAAAAACGCAGGUAAAAACAAACCAACAUGAAUGCGGACACGGACGGACACGGACGGACACAGCAGGAUUGGAAAGUUUACCCGGUUUUGGUCCCUUAGAUCCCUGUCCAUUGGGAUACCCAGCUCCAGCACCUAAUGUUUGCAAAGGGGCACUGUCAACUGGAAUUAUCAAACUCCACAUGCAGGGUAUGAGGUACAGAGGCUUUGCAGCAAUCAACCACAUUGCUUGUACAGAUGUAGGAUCUUAAUUUCAGCCAGUUUGCUACAGCAGGAAAAUAAUCCUGCUGCGACAGAAAAUGUGAAUUAUUAUGUGAUUAGAAUUCAUCUUUAAGAGUAAAUUGACGCACCUGUGCAUCAAUCUAAGUAACAUUAUUAAAAAAUCCCCAACAAAACCAGUCAGUUUAAUGGACAUUUAUGUAGGGGUUGAUAUAUUUUUCAUUAGGGCAAAUUAAGUCUGAAAUUUCAAAGUGGAAAAUCUUUUAAAACUCAAAUUUUGCAAAUGAAGAUCCUACAUCUGUAAAGCCAGUUUACAGAUGCUUGGUGUCUAUGUAGGACCCGGCUGGCUAAUGUACACUGUACAGUGUACAGUAUGCAGAUGACAAUUUGGAAGAUGCGUGAUAUGGAAAUCCCCACUGAUUUAUUGAUUGGGAUUGACAGUUUGUUCAAUGAAUUAAGUGCUUGAGGUGUGAGCUGUAAAAAAUAUGAACCCUGGCUUGUAAAAUAGUAGACUAUAGUAUUGGCCUUUAGAUGGUUCAGGCCAGCAGGGAUUGGCUGCUUACCUGGUCGUGGAUAGCCUCUGGCUCCAGUUCCAGGCCCGUAACCU
Molecule: long non-coding RNA, 13318 nt
Filed under: Salmo salar (Atlantic salmon)
Lineage: Eukaryota; Metazoa; Chordata; Actinopteri; Salmoniformes; Salmonidae
Description: lncRNA (ENSSSAG00000103034.1)
Source: RNAcentral